RNAcentral lists this ribosomal RNA (443 nucleotides) under uncultured bacterium. RNAcentral describes it as "bacterial SSU rRNA". It matches the Rfam family "Bacterial small subunit ribosomal RNA", at positions 28 to 484 of the family's 1533-position model. The record is from RNAcentral.
GACGAACGCUGGCGGCGUGCUUAACACAUGUAAGUCGAACGGUAAGGCCUUUCGGGGUACACGAGUGGCGAACGGGUGAGUAACACGUGGGUGAUCUGCCCUGCACUUUGGGAUAAGCCUGGGAAACUGGGUCUAAUACCGAAUAGGACCAUGGACUUCACGGUUUGUGGUGGAAAGCUUUUGCGGUGUGGGAUGGGCCCGCGGCCUAUCAGCUUGUUGGUGGGGUAAUGGCCUACCAAGGCGACGACGGGUAGCCGGCCUGAGAGGGUGACCGGCCACACUGGGACUGAGAUACGGCCCAGACUCCUACGGGAGGCAGCAGUGGGGAAUAUUGCACAAUGGGCGCAAGCCUGUUGCAGCGACGCCGCGUGAGGGAUGACGGCCUUCGGGUUGGUAAACCUACUUUCCUAGCACAGACGAAGCGCAAGUGACGGUAUGUGCAG